UCACAACCUUUUUGAGUUAGCU
This 22-nucleotide microRNA is filed under the name Panagrellus redivivus. RNAcentral describes it as "prd-miR-67-3p". Its record names the gene prd-miR-67-3p. The record is from miRBase by way of RNAcentral. Lineage: Eukaryota; Metazoa; Nematoda; Chromadorea; Rhabditida; Panagrolaimidae.